This is a long non-coding RNA of Schistocerca cancellata (South American locust), 226 nucleotides long. RefSeq lists it as uncharacterized. The transcript has 3 exons. The record is from RefSeq and is a predicted model, not a curated record. NCBI's taxonomy places the organism in Eukaryota, Metazoa, Arthropoda, Insecta, Orthoptera, Acrididae.
CUCCGUCCUACGAUGACACUGCACCGGAAGAACGCCCCAGAAGCGGCUCCCGGUGCGGGGCCGCGGCCGUGGCCGGCGGAUCGCCGCUGCGCCAAUCGCAGGUACCGCAGAUUCGUCUCGCACUCGCAGCGAGGCCGUGGAGUGACUGCCCCAGCGAUUCGUAACCUCAUGGCCUGCGUCAAAGAAAGGCGAUCUUUUUUCCAUCGUCUGUGUCUUUAUUGUUGAC